UCUCCGUAGGUGAACCUGCGGAGGGAUCAUUACUGAGUGAGGGUCUCCGGGCCCGACCUCCAACCCCAUGUGAACCGAAACCUGUUGCUUCGGGGGCGACCCUGCCUUUCGGCGCGGCGCCCCCGGAGGUCUUCUAAACACUGCAUCUUUGCGUCGGAGUUUAAAACAAAUUAAACAAAACUUUCAACAACGGAUCUCUUGGUUCUGGCAUCGAUGAAGAACGCAGC
RNAcentral lists this unclassified non-coding RNA (227 nucleotides) under uncultured fungus. Its description in RNAcentral is "sequence contains ITS1, 5.8S rRNA gene". The stretch from base 179 to 227 matches the Rfam family "5.8S ribosomal RNA", at positions 1 to 49 of the family's 154-position model. The record is from RNAcentral. Lineage: Eukaryota; Fungi.